Molecule: long non-coding RNA, 1680 nt
Organism: Callithrix jacchus (white-tufted-ear marmoset)
Lineage: Eukaryota; Metazoa; Chordata; Mammalia; Primates; Cebidae
Source: RefSeq, a predicted model, not a curated record
AAUCAAUAAACAAGGGCCCGAUCCCCGAGGCCCGCGGCAUCUCGACGGCUCGGAGGGGCGAGUGAGCGAUCGAGGUUUGGGCCUCAGCGGAGAUCCUGAGCACAGGCCCCCCACCUUCCCCUCGCCUCCGCGGACCAAAGAUGAGUGAGGAUCUCCCCGUUGGAGGAAGAGGGAGUUGAAAGAGGCUUCCACUCUGAAAAAGGUCAGUGUUAAGGUGCAAAUAACAAAGAGAUUUACAAUCAUCAGCACCACUAUCCCCAUGUCACCCUCCAAAAGCAACAGUUAAAUCUUAGAAAACGGACAGGAACUCCCAGGCUGACACAUGGAAGUGAGAUGGAGCAUGAGAGGCAUUUUUGGGCCUCUAGCCUCCAUAGCUGUGUGGCCUAGGUUCUUCUCUUCUCUGCCCAGUGUUUGCAGCACUGCCUCUGCCUCUUAUGUCCCCCUGCUUUCCUCAUUUUGAGGCAUCCAUGCUUCUUUGUGACACCCCCCCACCCAAAACAGGCAGAGUCUAAGAUGGGCAUGUACCCACUCCAGCCUCAAGCUUGUAUCUGUAUCCAUAUCCAGGGGCAUAAACAAGAACUGAGGUAGCCACUGAUUUAACUUAGAGCACUCUCAAAGUUCAGGUCAGCAUAUGUGUGUGCCUGGUGUGGUGGGGAGCUUUCCCCUAGGACAAAGAGACUUUCCCUCCCAUUUUUGCCAUUGUGCUAGUUAAAAAAAAAAAUUCCUGACAAGGAAGAAUUCCCUGAAGAUGGUGGGAGUGGAAAUAAUGACCACUGAAAUGAUACUUCAUUUCUGGCUCCUAGGGGAAAAUGUUUUUAAAUUGUAUUUUGAGAAGACCAAGAUAGUCUAAAGUUUACACUGUUGUAAUUUACUAUAGGGAGAGGGCACAAGAAACUGGGCCUCAAAAACAGAAAAUGAAAAGUCGAUCUGGGGGAAGAUUUUUAAAUACGUGGGUCAGAGGGACAGAGAGGAGAUGAGGCGAUCAAUCUUAGCCCUCUGACAGCUCCCUCCUAUUGCAUCAAAGAAUUUGGUUCUUUGGGAAAGCAAAGGGAACAGCCAAAAUUUCACAUCCCUUAAAAAGCCCUGGGGGUGGGGGUGGGGGUGCAAAAGAGAAAGGUGAUUCUGGGAGAGCUGGGAAACAGAUGGGAAAUAGGGACAGAGGGAAGGCGCUAAGUUGGAUGGAAAGUUUGCCUGGAGAACUCUCACGGCUCUGGCCUCCCCUCCCCCUCCUGUCUCUCUGCUGCCCAGCCAGGAAGAGAAGGCUGGUUAGCAAAGAAAUGGCAACCGAGCCCGGAGCUGGAACUAGAAAUUUUUCUGUCAAUGUUGUAUCUGCGUGGGUGGUGACCCAAUGGUGGUUGGGCUUCGGGUCACGUGACAACUUCUUUGUAGCUCCGGAAGAGGACUGUGAAGUUUAGGUUUCGUGGAAGAAACCGAGAAUUGAGGAAAAAAAAAUCAAGAUUUCGGGGGAAUUACCUACAAAGAUGUAAGGUGUGUUAAUUUGGGUGCUUCUUGGAUUCUACCCUGAGGAGGAGGCGCAUGAUCUUGAUCUGCCGCUCGCUGAGGUUCAGCAGGUUGGCCAUCUCCACACGGCGAGGCCGGCACAGGUAGCGGUUGAAAUGGAACUCCUUCUCCAGCUCCACCAGCUGCGCGCUCGUGUACGCCGUUCGCGCCCUCUUGGAC